This is an RNA transcript of Macaca mulatta (Rhesus monkey), 1639 nucleotides long. It is a transcript of the gene named transmembrane protein 134, with no coding region annotated. The record is from RefSeq and is a predicted model, not a curated record. Lineage: Eukaryota; Metazoa; Chordata; Mammalia; Primates; Cercopithecidae.
GGGCAUGUGGGGGCGGGGCCGCGGCGACGCUGGGCGUGUAGGCGCAGAUGGCGGCGGCGCACGGCGCCUGAGCGGGCCGGGGCCAUGAGCGCCGCCCGGCCCCAGUUCAGCAUUGAUGAUGCCUUCGAGCUGUCCCUGGAGGACGCGGGCCCUGGGCCCGAGGCCAGCGGGGUCGCGCGCUUUGGGCCGCUGCACUUCGAGCGUCGGGCCCGGUUCGAGGUGGCUGACGAGGACAAGCAGUCCCGGCUGCGCUACCAGAACCUGGAGAACGAUGAGGAUGGAGCCCAGAUCUCUCCGGAGCUGGAUGGGGGAGUCAGCACCAGGGAUUCCGGCCGAACUUCCAUCCGCAGCUCCCAGUGGUCCUUUAGCACCAUCAGCAGCGGCACCCAGCGCUCCUACAACACCUGCUGCAGCUGGACCCAACACCCUUUGAUCCAGAAGAACCGUCGAGUGGUGCUGGCCUCCUUCCUGCUCCUGCUGCUGGGGCUGGAGAUGGGAAUCUUGCUAUGUUGCCCAGGCUGGCUUCGAACUCCUGGCCUCAAUCUUCCUGCCCUGGCUCCCUGAAGCACUGAGAUUACAGGCAUGAGCCACCGCACCCGGCGGCCCACCCUUUUAGAAGUAGUCGGGGCAAUGCACAAAGCACACAGCAGUCGAUGGUGGCCCCCCAUUCUCCCAGGCUCACUACCCCCCUUUGUUGCAGAGCCCAAAGUCCAGCUCCUCAUUCCCCCAUCCCUCUUCUAACUGGGGACCCAGGACUCCUGCACUGCCCUCUUCUUACCUCCCAUAUCCCGAUCACCUGUACUGUUAGCUUUCAGGUUCUUAUUGGUUCCUCCACUAAGGAUGGGCCAUGAGGGCAGGGACCUUUUCUGCCCUUCAGGGCGGAAUUCCCAGUACCAGGCACUCAGUAGGUGUUCCAUAAAUGUUUGUUGAAUGACUAAAAGCCCACCCCAACGAGCAAAUAAAAAUCUCUCAAGUUUCACACACUUCCCAGGGCCUGCUCAGUGCCUUGCUCUGGAAACAGAGCUUGGUGAGCUUCCUGGAGAGGGUCUCUGCCUAGGGCACCUUCAGCUCAGGUGGUGGGGGGCAUCAUUCCUUAGGGCUGAGCCGGGCUGGGGGUGGGAGCCCCCGCCCUCACCACUGCUCCUGCCCCCACCCCCGCGGCUCCGUCUGUGUGCAGUGCUGAUCCUGGUCGGCGUGGGACUGGAGGCGACCCCCUCUCCAGGUGUCUCCAGCGCCAUCUUCUUCGUGCCGGGCUUCCUGUUGUUGGUGCCUGGAGUCUAUCACGUGAUCUUCAUCUACUGCGCGGUCAAGGGCCACCGGGGCUUCCAGUUCUUCUACCUGCCCUACUUCGAGAAGUGACCGCGAGAAGUGACCGUGGCGCAGCGUGGACUCCUUGCAUCCACGUGGGCGUCUCUCUGACCCACGCCCUGUUCCGUUCCCCUCAUCUCAAGGGAAGAGGCCCUCCAGGGCCCUCAAAACCCCAGCCCCUAGGGAGUUUGCUCAGGAAGUUUGGGGAAUGCAGGCCUGGCCCUGGGAAAGCCGCCCCUCGCCUGCUCUGUGCCUUAACUUAUUCUCGGGCCAUGCGGCUGCUAGGUUGCUAUUAUUUUGUGCUAAUAAAAGAGUAGUUAAUUCCACCAGA